GAUGGACAGGAACAGGUUGGAUUUAAGAUUGCAUCACUCUGGAUCAACACAAUCUGAGGAAUCAGCGUUAGAUUUGGAAAGAAACUGUUGCAAUCAUCCUAAUUUGCACUGGUCAAGUCCAUCUUCACUUCAGCCCUUUGCAUCAGGUGGUCAACACUCUGAAAGUAAUGCUGCCUACUUCUCUUGGCCUACUCUGAGUCGAUUAAAUGAUACAGCAGAAGAUAGAGCAAACUAUUUUGGAAACCUUCAGAAGGGGGUGCUGCCAGAAACUCUUGGGAGGUUGCCAUCAGGGCAGCAAGCCACCACCUUGCUCGAGCUGAUGACCAUUAGGGCAUUUCAUAGUAAAAUCUUGCGCCGGUUUAGUCUUGGCACAGCAAUUGGGUUUAGGAUUCGACGGGGUGUCUUGACAGAUAUUCCAGCUAUUCUUGUCUUUGUUGCCCGGAAAGUUCAUA
Molecule: unclassified non-coding RNA, 452 nt
Filed under: Hevea brasiliensis (rubber tree)
Lineage: Eukaryota; Viridiplantae; Streptophyta; Magnoliopsida; Malpighiales; Euphorbiaceae
Source: RNAcentral